This 484-nucleotide ribosomal RNA is filed under the name uncultured bacterium. Its description in RNAcentral is "partial 16S ribosomal RNA". It matches the Rfam family "Bacterial small subunit ribosomal RNA", at positions 30 to 507 of the family's 1533-position model. The record is from RNAcentral.
AGUGAACGCUGGCGGCAGGCCUAACACAUGCCAGUCGAGCGGCAGCGCGGGGGCAACCCUGGCGGCGAGCGGCGGACGGGUGAGGAAUUCGUCGGAAUCUGCCUUUUUGUGGGGGAUAACGUAGGGAAACUUACGCUAAUACCGCAUACGUCCUACGGGAGAAAGUGGGGGACCGCAAGGCCUCACGCAGAAAGAUGAGCCGACGACCGAUUAGCUAGUUGGUGGGGUAAAGGCCCACCAAGGCGACGAUCGGUAGCUGGGCUGAGAGGAUGAUCAGCCACACUGGAACUGAGACACGGCCCAGACUCCUGCGGGGGGCAGCAGUGGGGAAUAUUGGACAAUGGGCGCAAGCAUGAUCCAGCAAUGCCGCGUGUGUGAAGAAGGCCUUCGGGUUGUAAAGCACUUUUGUCCGGAAAGAAAUCCCUGGAGCUAAUACCUUCGGGGGAUGACGGUACCGGACGAAUAAGCUCCGGCUAACUUCGUG